This 849-nucleotide ribosomal RNA is filed under the name uncultured bacterium. RNAcentral describes it as "bacterial SSU rRNA". It matches the Rfam family "Bacterial small subunit ribosomal RNA", at positions 8 to 904 of the family's 1533-position model. The record is from RNAcentral.
AGAGUUUGAUCCUGGCUCAGAACGAACGCUGGCGGCAGGCCUAAUACAUGCAAGUCGAGCGCGCCCUUCGGGGUGAGCGGCGGACGGGUGAGUAACGCGUGGGAAUAUGCCCUUCUCUAAGGAAUAGCCUCUGGAAACGGAGAGUAAUACCUUAUACGCCCUUUGGGGGAAAGAUUUAUCGGAGAAGGAUUAGCCCGCGUUAGAUUAGGUAGUUGGUGGGGUAAUGGCCUACCAAGCCUACGAUCUAUAGCUGGUUUGAGAGGAUGAUCAGCCACACUGGGACUGAGACACGGCCCAGACUCCUACGGGAGGCAGCAGUAGGGAAUCUUAGACAAUGGGGGCAACCCUGAUCUAGCCAUGCCGCGUGUGUGAUGAAGGCCCUAGGGUCGUAAAGCACUUUCGCCAGAGAUGAUAAUGACAGUACCUGGUAAAGAAACCCCGGCUAACUCCGUGCCAGCAGCCGCGGUAAUACGGAGGGGGUUAGCGUUGUUCGGAAUUACUGGGCGUAAAGCGCACGUAGGCGGAUUAGAAAGUUAGAGGUGAAAUCCCAGGGCUCAACCCUGGAACUGCCUUUAAAACUCCUAGUCUUGAGUUCGAGAGAGGUGAGUGGAAUUCCAAGUGUAGAGGUGAAAUUCGUAGAUAUUUGGAGGAACACCAGUGGCGAAGGCGGCUCACUGGCUCGAUACUGACGCUGAGGUGCGAAAGUGUGGGGAGCAAACAGGAUUAGAUACCCUGGUAGUCCACACCGUAAACGAUGAAUGCCAGUCGUCGGGUAGUAUACUAUUCGGUGACACACCUAACGGAUUAAGCAUUCCGCCUGGGGAGUACGGUCGCAAGAUUAAAACUCAA